This 673-nucleotide long non-coding RNA is filed under the name Brassica napus (rape). Its description in RNAcentral is "long non-coding RNA (BNAP_LNC019865)". Lineage: Eukaryota; Viridiplantae; Streptophyta; Magnoliopsida; Brassicales; Brassicaceae. The record is from RNAcentral.
GUGGACAUGGAAAGACCAGGUUUUACAAGCAUGGAAAACAAGUUCUCCAGGAAACCUUUUCUGGGUCAUUGUACCUAUUAGAUCGAGAAAACUGUAUCAUGUGAAAUAAAUAACACUAGCAGAAAUAAACCAUCUAUGGAUGAGACAGUAUUAUGACAUAGACGUCUUUUGCACAUGAGUAUGAAGAAGGACGGUUGGAGUUUUGGAGUUUGGAGUUUUGGAGGACGGUUAGAGUUUUGGAGUUCUGUGAGAGUUUCGGGAAGCAUGAUACUUGUGAAGCUCUCAGGUAUGGACAUGUUGUUUUAUGUGAUGGAUCUCUAAAUGUAACUUCAAGUCUGGUGUGUAAGGUACCCUCAAGGUGAACAUGCGAAUGGUGCUAUGUGGUCUUUGUGUCGAAAAUCUUCUUAACAAAUGUGGAGUUAAGCGGCUUGUUAUGUUGGUACAAACGGCGGUGCAAGAUGGGUGUCAGGUUUCGCUCGAAGGUUGAAGAAUAACUGGUUUAUGUGGUACUUGGUUUAGGAGGGUGGUUAUAAGAAGUGUAUCCACACACACACACACACACAUAUAUAUAUAUAUAUAUAUAUAUAUAUAUAUAUAUUAUCGAUGAUUACACUACGUCAGGACCAUAAGUUGAGACUUUAGGCAUAACUGUUGACAUGAAAGCUGAUAUAGC